Molecule: long non-coding RNA, 516 nt
Organism: Numida meleagris (helmeted guineafowl)
Lineage: Eukaryota; Metazoa; Chordata; Aves; Galliformes; Numididae
Exons: 4
Source: RefSeq, a predicted model, not a curated record
GCUAAAAACAUGGGCAUGGCUCAGGCUGUCAUUUCCCUUAGUGAUCAAUGAUGUCCCAGCACUCUGAGAUCCUCUCUCUGGCGCUAUCUGGAACCUCUCUGCAAACCUUGGGUGCCCGUUCCCACCAACGUUUCUUCCUUUCUCUCUUCAGAAGCAGCGCAGUGCGGUUCCCCGUGUUUGGGAGCAGCAGCCAGUAGGCUGCAAGAGAUGCAGCUGCGCCUUUCAGCGCACAAAGGGACACAGUGGGGAUGGAGCAUCCUUACCACCACGCAAAAGGAUGGAGCCUGCGCACCCACUGAACGGUGCUGGGCACUGGGGAAAACGAAAAGCCUCCGCAGAAGCUGAUGCCAGUGGCCUUCCUCUGAAGCGCAGCCAUGCGGAAAGGCAGGGGAGGAGCACGGAGCGUGACGCGGCACCCAAGAGAGAGAGAGGUGCUGAGCCAAAUGGGAAGAUCUACGUGAGAGCGGUGCACGAAGUCCUUUCGGAGAGAGCUCGUCUCCAGGCUGGAGGGCUUCG